ACAGCAUCUUAUUGUCCUGGGUUCGGAUUUUAAAAGAGUAUUUUAUUCUUAAGCGCGGUAUUCAAGCUGACACUCGAAAUUACUUAGGAGCAAAAAACACACGGCAAAGCUGUCACAUGGGGGAAGGCGAGCAUCUCUCUACACAAUCCAAAAAGAAAGUGAACCCUUCACAAGUUUGAUUCUCACCACCCUCCCCUCAUCCUUUAAGCACUGGAAAACAAGCUGUAGGGAGAUUGUGUUGGAUGGGGCAUCCCAGCACAUCUGGUGGGCACCAGGUGGUAGAAUACUUCAUUUCUUCAGUGAAGGAGAAUGUUUGUAACCUCAGGGCUGAAAUGAGGGAUCCUUGGUGCUCUCUGAGCUUGGUUGUUUUCUGGCAGGUGUUUCAUGAUCCAAACACAAUACUGUCAGUGUUAAGAUGGGGUUUGUGGUGGUGGUGAGGAGGAGGAGGAGGAAAGGAGGAGGAGGAGGAAGCAGAGGAAAAGGGAAGAAG
Thamnophis elegans (Western terrestrial garter snake) is the source of this 490-nucleotide long non-coding RNA. RefSeq lists it as uncharacterized. The transcript is spliced from 2 exons. The record is from RefSeq and is a predicted model, not a curated record. Lineage: Eukaryota; Metazoa; Chordata; Lepidosauria; Squamata; Natricidae.